GUGGGGAAUAUUGGACAAUGGGCGCAAGCCUGAUCCAGCAAUGCCGCGUGUGUGAAGAAGGUCUUCGGAUCGUAAAGCACUUUCGACGGGGACGAUGAUGACGGUACCCGUAGAAGAAGCCCCGGCUAACUUCGUGCCAGCAGCCGCGGUAAUACGAAGGGGGCUAGCGUUACUCGGAAUUACUGGGCGUAAAGGGCGCGUAGGCGGCGCUCCAAGUUAGGCGUGAAAGUCCUGGGCUCAACCUGGGAACUGCGCUUGAUACUGGAGUGCUUGAGGAUGGAAGAGGGUUGUGGAAUUCCCAGUGUAGAGGUGAAAUUCGUAGAUAUUGGGAAGAACACCGGUGGCGAAGGCGGCAACCUGGUCCAUUACUGACGCUGAGGCGCGACAGCGUGGGGAGCAAACAGG
Molecule: ribosomal RNA, 405 nt
Filed under: uncultured Roseomonas sp.
Lineage: Bacteria; Pseudomonadati; Pseudomonadota; Alphaproteobacteria; Acetobacterales; Roseomonadaceae
Description: bacterial SSU rRNA
Rfam family: Bacterial small subunit ribosomal RNA
Source: RNAcentral